CGGCGGACGGGUUAGUAACGCGUGGGAAUGUGCCUCUGGGUGCGGAACAACCGUUGGAAACGACGGCUAAUACCGCAUGAUGUCUACGGACCAAAGAUUUAUCGCCCAGAGAUCAGCCCGCGUUGGAUUAGCUAGUUGGGGGGGUAACGGCCCACCAAGGCGACGAUCCAUAGCUGGUUUGAGAGGAUGAUCAGCAACACUGGGACUGAGACACGGCCCAGACUCCUACGGGAGGCAGCAGUGGGGAAUCUUGGACAAUGGGCGCAAGCCUGAUCCAGCCAUGCCGCGUGAACGAUGAAGGCCUUAGGGUUGUAAAGUUCUUUCACCGGUGAAGAUAAUGACGGUAGCCGGAGAAGAAGCCCCGGCUAACUCCGUGCCAGCAGCCGCGGUAAU
RNAcentral lists this ribosomal RNA (393 nucleotides) under uncultured bacterium. Its description in RNAcentral is "bacterial SSU rRNA". It matches the Rfam family "Bacterial small subunit ribosomal RNA", at positions 96 to 524 of the family's 1533-position model. The record is from RNAcentral.